Molecule: ribosomal RNA, 492 nt
Filed under: uncultured bacterium
Lineage: Bacteria
Description: partial 16S ribosomal RNA
Rfam family: Bacterial small subunit ribosomal RNA
Source: RNAcentral
AGUGAACGCUGGCGGUAGGCCUAACACAUGCAAGUCGAACGGCAGCACAGUAAGAGCCUGCUCUUACGGGUGGCGAGUGGCGGACGGGUGAGGAAUACAUCGGAAUCUACUUUUUCGUGGGGGAUAACGUAGGGAAACUUACGCUAAUACCGCAUACGACCUACGGGUGAAAGCAGGGGAUCUUCGGACCUUGCGCGAUUGAAUGAGCCGAUGUCGGAUUAGCUAGUUGGCGGGGUAAAGGCCCACCAAGGCGACGAUCCGUAACUGGUCUGAGAGGAUGAUCAGCCACACUGGAACUGAGACACGGUCCAGACUCCUACGGGAGGCAGCAGUGGGGAAUAUUGGACAAUGGGCGCAAGCCUGAUCCAGCCAUACCGCGUGGGUGAAGAAGGCCUUCGGGUUGUAAAGCCCUUUUGUUGGGAAAGAAAAGCAGCAGGUUAAUACCCCGCUGUUCUGACGGUACCCAAAGAAUAAGCACCGGCUAACUUCGUG